GAUGAAGAACGUAGCGAAAUGCGAUACGUAAUGUGAAUUGCAGAAUUCAGUGAAUCAUCGAAUCUUUGAACGCAUAUUGCGCUCUCUGGUAUUCCGGAGAGCAUGCUUGUUUGAGUAUCAGUAAACACCUCAACUCCCCUUUCUUUUUUGAAAUGGGAGCUGGACUUGAGUGAUCCCAACGCUUUUCUCACCGAAAAGUGGCGGGUUACUUGAAAUGCAGGUGCAGCUGGACUUUUCUCUGAGCUAAAAGCAUAUCUAUUUAGUCUGCCUAAAAACAGAUUAUUACCUUUGCUGCAGCUAACAUAAAGGAGAUUAGUUCUUGUGCUGACUGAUGCAGGAUUCACAGAGACCGCUUCGGCUGGCCUUUGUAAACUCGAUCUCAAAUCAAGUAAGACUACCCGCUGAACUUAAGCAUAUCAAUAAGCGGAGGA
RNAcentral lists this unclassified non-coding RNA (431 nucleotides) under soil metagenome. RNAcentral's name for it is "partial contains 5.8S ribosomal RNA, internal transcribed spacer 2, and large subunit ribosomal RNA". The stretch from base 1 to 120 matches the Rfam family "5.8S ribosomal RNA", at positions 35 to 154 of the family's 154-position model. The record is from RNAcentral.